RNAcentral lists this ribosomal RNA (374 nucleotides) under Nematoda sp. Its description in RNAcentral is "bacterial SSU rRNA". It matches the Rfam family "Eukaryotic small subunit ribosomal RNA", at positions 252 to 625 of the family's 1831-position model. The record is from RNAcentral. Lineage: Eukaryota; Metazoa; Nematoda.
CUGAAUAACUCAGCUGAUCGCAUGGUCUCGCGCCGAUGACUGAUCUUCCAGGUGACGGCUUAAUCCUGUUUUGAGGGAAAUUGAUGCAACUACUUGGGUUGAUACGGGUAACGUACAAAAAGGGUUGGACUCCGGAAAAGGAACCUGAGAAACGGUUACCACAUCCAAGGAAGGCAGCAAGUUCUUGGAUUACCCAAUCUCGGAACGAGGAGGUAGUGACGAGCCAAUAAAUAGACGGUUCUCUAAGAGGCCCGUUAUCGGAAUGAGUACAAUUCAAACCUUUUAACGAGGAUCUACGAGAGGGCAAGUCUGGUGCCAGCAGCCGCGGUAAUUCCAGCUCUCGAAGUGUAUAUCAUUGUUGUUGCGGUUAAAAA